This 877-nucleotide ribosomal RNA is filed under the name Usnea baileyi. RNAcentral describes it as "eukaryotic LSU rRNA". The stretch from base 518 to 671 matches the Rfam family "5.8S ribosomal RNA". Lineage: Eukaryota; Fungi; Ascomycota; Lecanoromycetes; Lecanorales; Parmeliaceae. The record is from RNAcentral.
GGCGGAACGAUAUAUCCUUUCGGGUUAUCUGCUGAAACCUUAGUGGAUUGGUUAGGCGACUCUAAACAAGUAUAACCCUCGGGCUCCCCCCCGGGCGCUAGCUGUCCUCUGCGGAUAGCGACAUUACCAGUGUGCGGGAAGAUUCGAAUCGAUCGGAUAACCCGCAGUCACGGUUGUGACUCACAGGCUAAAUGGUAAUGGGUGUAGCCACCAGAGUAGCUACACUUCAGAUAUAGUCGGUCCCCAGAUGUCUCUGGGAGGCUUGUGGAGAAAAUCUCCCAUAAGCGGGCUAAACGUUCCGUAGGUGAACCUGCGGAAGGAUCAUUACCGAGAGAGGGGCCUCGCGCUCCCGGGGGCUUCGGCCCCCAACUCUUCACCCAUUGUCUACUUACCUUUGUUGCUUUGGCGGGCCUUGGGGUCCGCCCCACGCCGGCCCCGGUGCCGGCGAGCGCCCGUCAGAGGCCCUCAAUCAUCCUGCUUAAAUUAGUGAUGUCCGAGUAAAACAUGAAAUAGCAAAAACUUUCAACAACGGAUCUCUUGGUUCCAGCAUCGAUGAAGAACGCAGCGAAAUGCGAUAAGUAAUGUGAAUUGCAGAAUUCAGUGAAUCAUCGAAUCUUUGAACGCAUAUUGCGCCCCUCGGUAUUCCGGGGGGCAUGCCUGUUCGAGCGUCAUUACACCCCUCAAGCGCAGCUUGGUAUUGGGUUCUCGCCCCCUCGGGCGUGCCCGAAAAGCAGUGGCGGUCCGGUGCGGCUUUAAGCGUAGUAAAUUUUCCCGCUUUGAAAGUCCGUCCCGCGGCCAGCCAGAAACCCAACAAAUCAUCGCAAUUGACCUCGGAUCAGGUAGGGAUACCCGCUGAACUUAAGCAUAUCAAUAAGCG